Long non-coding RNA from Panthera uncia (snow leopard), 935 nucleotides. RefSeq lists it as uncharacterized. The transcript is spliced from 2 exons. Lineage: Eukaryota; Metazoa; Chordata; Mammalia; Carnivora; Felidae. The record is from RefSeq and is a predicted model, not a curated record.
AACAUCUGGUCAUCCGUCCGCUCCUUUCUAGGCACCAGCAGGCACUGAGGUCCCGGGAUCCCAAAAGGAUUCCCUUGGAGCUGUCUUGCACAGCCUGGAGCUUGACAACGGACGGCAGCCGCGUGCACCGCUCCCACGGCCCGGUUGUCGCUUGACCAGCCCUUCGGAGAGGCCGCAUCAGGCAGUCUGCCGGGACCAGCCCGGGAGCCGUCAAGGCCGCCUCCGGCUGCCAGGGCUCUCACGGUGCUGCCCUGCCCCCUGCCCCCUGGACGAGCUCUUCACGCCCCUCUUUUCUGUCCGCGGGAGCGUGCCUGUGCCGCCAUGAGAGCUUCCGCCAUGGAUUCAGUGAUGCGGUCACAAACCGCUUCCUGUGGUGGCUGCGGGGCAGGGGUGCGGCCUCGCAGGCCCCAGGUGCGGUGCGUGGUGCAGAAGUCGCUCGUGAUGGGGGCUGCGUGCUGCUGAACGUGUCACAUGGCGAACAGAAGGCCGAGGCCGCCACCCCGCCUCAGGCCUUCGUGAGCCCCAGGCCCGGCGCAGCCACGCAGGGGUGGCUUGCAAGGGGACCACCCCCUACAUCCUCUCCAUCUGAUGCGGUUUCAGCGCACCUUGCAGGUAAGGGUGUAGACCAGGAGGACAGCUGUGAAGUCGACUCCGAAGCGUUCAGGCACUUCUCAUGAAGAACUGGGCUCGGGCUCCACCACCUGCUAGCUGUGUGCGACCCCGGGGCAAGUUCUCCAGGUGCUAAGGUGGCGUCUCCCACGGAUACGACUUGGAUCCCUAGAGCCUCAUGAGCACUGGAUGGCAACGCCCAGGUCAAGCACGGAAGUUGGAUUAGCCCUCCCUACAGAAACAUGCAGCUUCUUGGCUGAGCGGGACCCUUUGCUGAAAUGCUGUCCCUGGGUCCAUCUUAAUUAACCGCCUUCUGUGAAAGCCUA